RNAcentral lists this unclassified non-coding RNA (354 nucleotides) under soil metagenome. Its description in RNAcentral is "partial contains 5.8S ribosomal RNA, internal transcribed spacer 2, and large subunit ribosomal RNA". The stretch from base 1 to 120 matches the Rfam family "5.8S ribosomal RNA", at positions 35 to 154 of the family's 154-position model. The record is from RNAcentral.
GAUGAAGAACGCAGCGAAAUGCGACAAGUAGUGUGAAUUGCAGAAUUCAGUGAAUCAUCGAAUCUUUGAACGCACAUUGCGCCUCCUGGUAUUCCGGGAGGCAUGCCUGUUCGAGCGUCAUUAAAAUCACUCAAGCUUAGGUUUACCUAUUGCUUGGUCUUGGAGAUGGAAGCCAAUUUAUUGGAAUCCUCUUCGAAAUUCAAUGGCGAAGACCCUUGCUCUCCCAAGUGUAGUAAUAACUUAUGUCACUGAAGGAAGCGAGAAAUCUUCUGCCGUAACCCCCAUAUUUUCUAUGAUUGACCUCGGAUCAGGUAGGGAUACCCGCUGAACUUAAGCAUAUCAAUAAGCGGAGGA